Molecule: long non-coding RNA, 362 nt
Organism: Dermacentor silvarum
Lineage: Eukaryota; Metazoa; Arthropoda; Arachnida; Ixodida; Ixodidae
Exons: 3
Source: RefSeq, a predicted model, not a curated record
GAGCUUCGUGUCUGCGCAUCAACUCGUCAAAAAUAAUUUCCGCAAAGUGGAAAAAAACGUAUAAACUGCCUGGAGAAUUUUUGAAGAGAAAUAAGCAGUGCGAACUUACAUACCCGACCUUGCGAAGGACAUAUUAUAUGGAGAAUUUGGGUAUCCAGAACUGCAAGGUACAGUGCUUUGUUCCCGGAGCGCAGUUCGACGCAGCCGACUCCCACUGGCCCAUGUACCUCAUUGACGGCAGCAAGUGUGGAACGAAACGAAUAUGCAUCAAUGGACAAUGUGUGGAAGACCGGAGGAAGCCGCGCACAAAGCGUCCGAAGCCAAAUAGUACCGUUGAAGGAAACUGAUUUUCAAAAAUCGUU